Molecule: ribosomal RNA, 115 nt
Filed under: Pogona vitticeps (central bearded dragon)
Lineage: Eukaryota; Metazoa; Chordata; Lepidosauria; Squamata; Agamidae
Source: RNAcentral
CAGAUUCACCAUAUUGCCCUGUACACAUGAGAUCACAUAUGAUGUCAGAAGCCAAGCAGCAUCAGGACUGGGCAGGAUUUGAAUGGAAGACCAUCAAAUAACUUGAGGGAUUUGC